Molecule: ribosomal RNA, 163 nt
Filed under: Plasmodium cynomolgi
Lineage: Eukaryota; Apicomplexa; Aconoidasida; Haemosporida; Plasmodiidae
Description: partial 18S ribosomal RNA
Source: RNAcentral
CGGUAUGAUAAGUGAUUUAAUAAAUUGCGCGUCGCACGGAAUGAUGGACUGGGAUUGCUUUUCACGUCAGUGUUUUCCAGACAUCAGAUGUGUGCACGUGUACUAGUAGUAUUCUCGCUCCUUCAUGUUCCCUGGACUUCACUUCCCUGGCUUAUCAUACCGA